This 253-nucleotide ribosomal RNA is filed under the name uncultured bacterium. RNAcentral's name for it is "partial 16S ribosomal RNA". It matches the Rfam family "Bacterial small subunit ribosomal RNA", at positions 524 to 776 of the family's 1533-position model. The record is from RNAcentral.
UACGGAGGGUGCAGGCGUUAUCCGGAUUUACUGGGUUUAAAGGGUGCGUAGGCGGGCAUGUAAGUCAGUGGUGAAAUACCCGAGCUUCACUUCGGAACUGCCAUUGAUACUAUAUGUUUUGAAUAUUGUGGAGGUAAGCGGAAUAUGUCAUGUAGCGGUGAAAUGCAUAGAUAUGACAUAGAACACCGAUUGCGGAGGCAGCUUGCCACGCAAAUAUUGACGCUGAGGCGCGAAAGCGUGGGGAGCAAACAGG